This 253-nucleotide ribosomal RNA is filed under the name uncultured bacterium. RNAcentral's name for it is "partial 16S ribosomal RNA". It matches the Rfam family "Bacterial small subunit ribosomal RNA", at positions 524 to 777 of the family's 1533-position model. The record is from RNAcentral.
UACGAAGGGGCUAGCGUUGCUCGGAAUCACUGGGCGUAAAGGGUGCGUAGGCGGGUUUUUAAGUCAGGGGUGAAAUCCUGGAGCUCAACUCCAGAACUGCCUUUGAUACUGAAGAUCUUGAGUUCGGGAGAGGUGAGUGGAACUGCGAGCGUAGAGGUGAAAUUCGUAGAUAUUCGCAAGAACACCAGUGGCGAAGGCGGCUCACUGGCCCGGUACUGACGCUGAGGUGCGAAAGCGUGGGGAUCAAACAGGG